Long non-coding RNA from Mercenaria mercenaria, 844 nucleotides. RefSeq lists it as uncharacterized. Lineage: Eukaryota; Metazoa; Mollusca; Bivalvia; Venerida; Veneridae. The transcript is spliced from 4 exons. The record is from RefSeq and is a predicted model, not a curated record.
GCACGGUCUAAGCAUAGAGACAGCAAACGUUCUGGUUAUAGGUCCAGUUGGAGCCGGAAAGUCCAGUUUUAUCAACACUGUUGCCUCAGUUUUCCGUGUCCAUAUAUGUGACCAGGCUGUAUGCGGUAGUGCUGAGAAAAGUAUAACCUCGAAGUAUCGCAUGUAUCGUGUACGAGGCUCUCAAAUGGAAAAACCACUUAGGUUCUGCCUAUGCGACACAAUGGGUCUUGAGGAAAGUCAAGGAAUAGAUGCACAAGAAUUGACAUACAUUUUGGAUGGACAUGUGCCCGAUGGUUAUCAGUUUAAUCCGACAACACCAAUAUCCUCUGAUAUACAUGGUUUCAUCACGUCACCAACACUUGGACACAAAAUUCACUGUGUAUGAUUUGUCUUCGAUGGUAACACAGCAACUAUUCUCUCCGAGAAAAUGCUGGAGAAAAUCAAGAGCAUGCAGGCAAAAGUGAGACAGAAAGGCUUGCCACAGGCAAUUGUGCUAACUAAAAUCGACAAUGUCUGUUCCUAUGUCGAAGAGGACGUGCGGAAUGUUUACCAAAGUGAUACCAUCAAACAGCUGGUCAACAAAGUGUCUAACAUAUUUGGAGUCCCUCGCAGCUUUAUCUUGCCACUGAAGAAUUAUGAAAAGGAGUUUGACGUCAGGACUGACGUCAGCGUUCUAGCGAUGCAUACAUUGAAGUGGCUAGUUGUCUACAGAGAACCAUCUCUUCAACUUCCUUGAUCAGUAGGACAGGAAACAGAAAUCUUCAGAUAGCUUGGAGUAAUACUCAAAAUCGAACAAAAGAAGUCGAUUAAAUACUGCUUUUUCAGAACUUCGAGACUUAGUCAA